UGAGAUGCACUGACUCCUGGCAAACUGCAGCAUUCCUUGUCAUCCUCCGCUCUCUUCCGAGGCUUUGGCCAGUCAUGCGGUUACUACGGAAAAUCCUCAUCCUUUUGGGUGCUUGCCUUAAUAUGAGCUGCAGGUAUCAGAGUAAUGCCCUGGAUAUUCCACUUGAAGUUUUAGCACGUGUGAACAUGGAGCAGCUGCCCACAAUUACAGAGCACUCACCUGCCUCUCUGGUCGCCUUUCCUUUCGAAG
Sinocyclocheilus rhinocerous is the source of this 249-nucleotide long non-coding RNA. RefSeq lists it as uncharacterized. The record is from RefSeq and is a predicted model, not a curated record. Lineage: Eukaryota; Metazoa; Chordata; Actinopteri; Cypriniformes; Cyprinidae. The transcript has 3 exons.